Homo sapiens (human) is the source of this 842-nucleotide long non-coding RNA. Ensembl annotates it as long intergenic non-protein coding RNA 1811. The record is from Ensembl. Lineage: Eukaryota; Metazoa; Chordata; Mammalia; Primates; Hominidae.
GUUGGUUGUUCAGAGAUGUUGAGAGAUCAACCAGGAGACUGUGGGAGGAUGUGAGCUCUCUGAGAAGGAGAAGAAGUAUUUACAUUAGAAGUCUGAUUCACAGGUCGGGGCAAAGUGAAAAACAUCUGCACUUUUAAAAGAUCAUCAGGAUACUUGCCAACAAGGUCACAGUGGACUCCAUGGAGCAACUGCCCUCAGGAGGCAACAGAUGGCUUCACUUGCUUAUUGGCUGAAGGUCUGCAAGGACUCAAUUCACAUAUCUGAUCAUACCUGGAGUCCAGACUUUCUCCUGAUGCCUGACCCCUUUGCCAUUAGGUCGGCUCCGUAUGACUGAGUUCUAGCCAGUGAGGUAUGGGCAGAAGUGAUGUGUACCAAUUGCGAGCUCGACUUUUGAAAUCAUCCCACGUGAUCCUCCUGCCAUCUACCAGCCAUCCUUUUUGAUCUUGAAGGUCUUAUGCCUCAGAUUGUGUAACUACAGGAUGAAGGAAGGCCACUCAACCCACACUUGGACAUGAUGACAAUAUUUGAGAAAAAGAAAGAGAAGAGGAUGGACUUUUUAGACUCAGCUAUACUGCUGAGUUCAAAUGUCUUGGAACUUAGUAGCUGUUCUUUUUGAGGGGAGUCUCUCUGAUGCUUGGAAUGAAUCCUGCUGAAUCAAUGCUGAUGCUUGGAGAUCUUCAAGUCUUUUCCCUUUUUCCCAUUGCUCAUGAUGUCUAUAUAACCUCCAAACAUGCAUCCCACUCCUCUGCCGAAAGACCAUUUUUUUAUAUCUUCAGUGAUGGUCUAGGCCAGGUUAAUUGACUUUUCUUUUUUCUUAAGCCAACUAAAGUCCUCACCACAAA